UAAACCAGCCUCAAUUACAGCCUACAUCAUUCAAAAGAUCAAGACUAAGGUGAUGUACAUGUGAAAUUCAUAUUCAACAAGCAAAAGAGAAGAACUCAAGUGUUUUGUGUAGAUCUCCACAUAAACAAGUCAGACAGUAAAUUCUAAAUUAUGAUUAGCAGAUGUGCUAGAACUUUAAACGAAGUCACACAUUAUAGCUUAAAGCAUGAAUUUCCUAAGCUGUAUAGACUUGCCUGAAUUUGUUCGCUGUUUCCAGCUGUAAUAUUUGAGAUGGUCCAGCAAGCUUCUUUCUUAAU
Molecule: unclassified non-coding RNA, 296 nt
Filed under: Hevea brasiliensis (rubber tree)
Lineage: Eukaryota; Viridiplantae; Streptophyta; Magnoliopsida; Malpighiales; Euphorbiaceae
Source: RNAcentral